RNAcentral lists this ribosomal RNA (429 nucleotides) under Chloroflexota bacterium. RNAcentral describes it as "Chloroflexi bacterium partial 16S ribosomal RNA". It matches the Rfam family "Bacterial small subunit ribosomal RNA", at positions 355 to 776 of the family's 1533-position model. The record is from RNAcentral. Lineage: Bacteria; Bacillati; Chloroflexota.
UGGUGAAUAUUGCACAAUGGGCGCAAGCCUGAUGCAGCCAUGCCGCGUGUAUGAAGAAGGCCUUCGGGUUGUAAAGUACUUUCAGUCGGGAGGAAGGUGUCAAGGUUAAUAACCUUGGCAAUUGACGUUACCGACAGAAGAAGCACCGGCUAACUCCGUGCCAGCAGCCGCGGUAAUACGGAGGGUGCAAGCGUUAAUCGGAAUUACUGGGCGUAAAGCGCACGCAGGCGGUUUGUUAAGUCAGAUGUGAAAUCCCCGGGCUCAACCUGGGAACUGCAUCUGAUACUGGCAAGCUUGAGUCUCGUAGAGGGGGGUAGAAUUCCAGGUGUAGCGGUGAAAUGCGUAGAGAUCUGGAGGAAUACCGGUGGCGAAGGCGGCCCCCUGGACGAAGACUGACGCUCAGGUGCGAAAGCGUGGGGAGCAAACAGG